Molecule: ribosomal RNA, 346 nt
Filed under: uncultured fungus
Lineage: Eukaryota; Fungi
Description: SSU rRNA
Rfam family: Eukaryotic small subunit ribosomal RNA
Source: RNAcentral
GUAGUCAUAUGCUUGUCUCAAAGAUCAAGCCAUGCAUGUCUAAGUAUAAGCAAUUAUACAGCGAAACUGCGAAUGGCUCAUUAAAUCAGUUAUCGUUUAUUUGAUAGUACCUAGCUACAUGGAUAACCGUGGUAAUUCUAGAGCUAAUACAUGCUAAAAAUCCCGACUUCGGAAGGGAUGUAUUUAUUAGGUUAAAAACCAAUGCCCUUCGGGGCUCUCUGGUGACUCAUAAUAACUUCUCGAAUCGCACGGCCUUGCGCCGGCGAUGGUUCAUUCAAAUUUCUGCCCUAUCAACUUUCGACGGCUGGGUCUUGGCCAGCCAUGGUGACAACGGGUAACGGGGAAU